This 1906-nucleotide ribosomal RNA is filed under the name Asotana magnifica. RNAcentral describes it as "partial small subunit ribosomal RNA". It matches the Rfam family "Eukaryotic small subunit ribosomal RNA", at positions 48 to 1635 of the family's 1831-position model. Lineage: Eukaryota; Metazoa; Arthropoda; Malacostraca; Isopoda; Cymothoidae. The record is from RNAcentral.
GCCAUGCAAGUCUCAGUACAGGUCGCUUACGGCCGAAACCGCGGAUGGCUCAUUAUAUCAGUUUUAAUCCGUAUGAUUUAUCACAAUUGGAUACCUGUGGCAAUUCUAGAGCUAAUACAUUAUUACAAUAAUUUUACACUCUAACCUUUCCGGUCAGAGUCUGUAAAAGCAAUCGUCACGACCAUAAACCGAUCAUUAAAAGGAAUUCUCCUUUGGUGCUAUGGUGAUUCAGGAUGAGCGUUGCAGAGCGCAAAGGUCAUUGAACCGCCGCUAUAUUAUGCGAGUUUCUGCCCUAUCAACUUUACUGUAAGGUAUUGGCCUACAGUGGUGUUCACGGGUAACGGGGAAUCUGGGUUCGAUUCCGGAGAGGGAGCCUGAUAAACGGCUACCACAUCCAAGGAAGGCAGCAGGCGCGGAAAUUAACCUAAUACUAGCUCUGUGAGUUAGUGACGAAAAAUAUUGAUGUGUGUCUCCUAAUGGAGCCUCACGAUCGAAAUGAGUUUAUCUUAAAUCCUUACUGCAAGGAGCUAUCGGAGGGCAAGCCUGGUGCCAGCAGCCGCGGUAAUUCCAGCUCCUUUAGCGUAAUUUAAUAUUGCUGCGGUUAAAGUGCUCGUCGUUGGAUUUCUUUAAACGGCGCUGGGCACCCGUGUCUUGAUUUCGAGCUUUUUUCCCAUAAAGUCUUGACGCUGUAAUUAUCCCUUCCCUCUUCGAGGCAGGGUUUUUCUAGUUUUGAAUAACGGAAAGCUCGCACCUUGAAUGGGUGUCUAGCCAGAAUAUUUGAGUAUCUAGCAGUAGCGUAAAGCUAUCUAUGCUAGAAACGAAGUUGGUACACUAAAUGCUCUUUGUUGUGUGUUUAGUGGUGCCGACACUUUUCACUUUAAUAAAAUUGGAGUGUUCAUAGCAGGUGUUAAUAUUUUCGAGUCGCCUGACUAAAGACGUCUGGAAUGAAGGAAUAAGACCUCUGUUCGGAUAUUUCUGAUCGAUUUUUUUGUUCGAAGCUGAGGUAAUGAUUAACAGGGACUGCCGGGGGCAUUAGUAUUGCAGCGCGAGAGGUGAAAUUCUAUGACCGUUGCAAGACUACCUACUGCGAAAGCAUUUGCCAAGAAUGUUUUUAUUAAUCAUGAACUAAAGUUAGAGGAUCGAAGGCGAUCAGAUACCGCCCUAGUUCUAACCCUAAACAAUGCUAACCAGCAAUCCGCUCGUGUCACUGGGGACUGAGCGGGAUCCCCCGGGAAACCAGAGUCUUUGAGUUCCGGGGGGAGUAUGGUUGCAAAACUGAAACUUAAAGGAAUUGACGGAAGGGCACCACCAGAAGUGGAGCCUGCGGCUUAAUUUGACUCAACACGGGGAAACUCACCAGGUCCGGACCCCGGAAGGAUUGACAGAUUAAAGUUCUUUCUCGAUUCGGAGGAAGGUGGUGCAUGGCCGUUCUUAGUUGGUGGAGUGAUUUGUCUGGUUGAUUCCGAUAACGAACGAGAUUCUUUCCUCCUAAUUUGUCGUCGGAUCGAAACCUGAAGCGGGAACAGAUUCCUCCUUUUUAGUGCGCGGUAACGUUCGCAAUUCGAUGAAAAUUAAGAAUUUUCGUGCAGUCUCUGCUCUAUAUAGUUUUCAUCGGUUCGAGCUUAUCGUUCCUAUUAUUGGAAAACCCGUCAAAGGUUGUCCGUCGAAUUAAAAUAUUUCUUCAUCUUAGCGGUAUCGGCGGUGUCCAGCCGCACUAAAAAGAGCAAUAACAGGUCUGUGAUGCCCUUAGAUGUUCUGGGCUGCACGCGCGCGACAAUGAAGGGAGCAGCGUGUUGUCCCAUUCCGAAAGGAAAUGGCAAUCAUUUGAAACCCCUUCUCGAUUGGGAUUGGGGAUUGUAAGUUUUUCUCAUAAACGAGGAAUUCCUUGUACGCGUAGGUCGUCAGC